AUUGAACGCUGGCGGCAUGCCUUACACAUGCAAGUCGAACGGCAGCACGGGAGCAAUCCUGGUGGCGAGUGGCGAACGGGUGAGUAAUAUAUCGGAACGUGCCCAGUCGUGGGGGAUAACGUAGCGAAAGCUACGCUAAUACCGCAUACGAUCUACGGAUGAAAGCGGGGGAUCGCAAGACCUCGCGCGAUUGGAGCGGCCGAUAUCAGAUUAGGUAGUUGGUGAGGUAAAGGCUCACCAAGCCGACGAUCUGUAGCUGGUCUGAGAGGACGACCAGCCACACUGGGACUGAGACACGGCCCAGACUCCUACGGGAGGCAGCAGUGGGGAAUUUUGGACAAUGGGCGCAAGCCUGAUCCAGCCAUGCCGCGUGCAGGAUGACGGUCCUAUGGAUUGUAAACUGCUUUUGUACAGGAAGAAACACUACUUCGUGAAGUAGCUUGACGGUACUGUAAGAAUAAGGAUCGGCUAACUCCGUG
This 479-nucleotide ribosomal RNA is filed under the name uncultured bacterium. Its description in RNAcentral is "bacterial SSU rRNA". It matches the Rfam family "Bacterial small subunit ribosomal RNA", at positions 30 to 507 of the family's 1533-position model. The record is from RNAcentral.